GAGGGUAUAGCUCAGUGGUAGAGUGCAUACUUAGCAUGCACAAGGUCCUGGGUUCAAACCCCAGGACCUCCA
This 72-nucleotide transfer RNA is filed under the name Camelus bactrianus (Bactrian camel). It matches the Rfam family "tRNA". Rfam says of the family: Transfer RNA (tRNA) molecules are approximately 80 nucleotides in length. Their secondary structure includes four short double-helical elements and three loops (D, anti-codon, and T loops). Further hydrogen bonds mediate the characteristic L-shaped molecular structure. tRNAs have two regions of fundamental functional importance: the anti-codon, which is responsible for specific mRNA codon recognition, and the 3' end, to which the tRNAs corresponding amino acid is attached (by aminoacyl-tRNA synthetases). tRNAs cope with the degeneracy of the genetic code in two manners: having more than one tRNA (with a specific anti-codon) for a particular amino acid; and 'wobble' base-pairing, i.e. permitting non-standard base-pairing at the 3rd anti-codon position. The record is from Rfam by way of RNAcentral. Lineage: Eukaryota; Metazoa; Chordata; Mammalia; Artiodactyla; Camelidae. RNAcentral also lists the same sequence under 2 other names.